This 450-nucleotide ribosomal RNA is filed under the name uncultured bacterium. Its description in RNAcentral is "partial 16S ribosomal RNA". It matches the Rfam family "Bacterial small subunit ribosomal RNA", at positions 338 to 795 of the family's 1533-position model. The record is from RNAcentral.
CCUACGGGUGGCUGCAGUGGGGAAUUUUGGACAAUGGGCGCAAGCCUGAUCCAGCAAUGCCGCGUGCAGGACGAAGGCCUUCGGGUUGUAAACUGCUUUUGUACGGAGCGAAAAGGCUCUCUCUAAUACAGGGGGUUCAUGACGGUACCGUAAGAAUAAGCACCGGCUAACUACGUGCCAGCAGCCGCGGUAAUACGUAGGGUGCAAGCGUUAAUCGGAAUUACUGGGCGUAAAGCGGGCGCAGGCGGUUGAAAUCCCCGGGCUCAACCUGGGAACUGCCUUUGUGACUGCAUAGCUAGAGUACGGCAGAGGGGGAUGGAAUUCCGCGUGUAGCAGUGAAAUGCGUAGAUAUGCGGAGGAACACCGAUGGCGAAGGCAAUCCCCUGGGCCUGUACUGACGCUCAUGCACGAAAGCGUGGGGAGCAAACAGGAUUAGAUACCCUGGUAGUC